AUGGUCUUUGUCCUGAAGAACAACCAGAGCUUCGCGACUUGCCUGGUGAAGGAUUUCUACCCCAAGGAGCUGAGCUUGACUCUGUCGGUCCCCCACCCCCCACUCAUAGAAUCUCUCAAGUCCACUGGCCCCUCCCCCAGGGGAACCUACAACACUAUUGGGAUCGGACAAUUCAGCAAGGCAGAUACAGUGACCUGCUCUGUGCGACACAGCUCUGUGCAGAUAAACAUAACCAAAGGGCAGGAUGCAGCCCCAGCACAUUCUGGUUCAGAAAAUCUGCAGGAAUUUGUCCUCACCUGUUCAGAACAGACCUUCACAGGUGAGUUUUGGCUGAAGAAGAAGAAGUAUUUAAGGAACCGUGAGUGGGUCAACAUGCUGUUCAUUGUCAUUCUGGCACUCAGAAUACUGCUCAUGAAAAACAUCACACUCAACCUUCUUCUGACAAUCCAGGCCUCUUGCUACUGA
This is a non-coding RNA of Ornithorhynchus anatinus (platypus), 465 nucleotides long. Lineage: Eukaryota; Metazoa; Chordata; Mammalia; Monotremata; Ornithorhynchidae. The record is from the annotation of a RefSeq genome assembly.